This is an RNA transcript of Mauremys reevesii (Reeves's turtle), 1243 nucleotides long. It is a transcript of the gene named sterile alpha motif domain containing 12, with no coding region annotated. The record is from RefSeq and is a predicted model, not a curated record. NCBI's taxonomy places the organism in Eukaryota, Metazoa, Chordata, Testudines, Geoemydidae. The transcript has 6 exons.
GCGUGAGAGCCGCAGGUUGAUCGUCUUGGCUGCAGAUGAGCAGAGAGAAAACAUUGGAGGGAGCGAGAAGGGGGCUGGAGGAGCAGUGCCUUGGGCAGGCGAAUUAUGCAGGCACUAGGCGAGCGCUGAGAGCAUGGCGGUGGAAGCUAUCCAUUGCAAUCUGAAUCCUAAUGGCAUUGAUCGUCCUGUCCACGCAGAAGAUAUUAACCUGUCACUUGAAGGUGAAGGAGUUGAGUUGCCCUCACGUAAGAACGAUAAUACUCGGAAGGUGCUUGAGUCAAAAGGGACACCCAAGAGACAGCAGGUGGAACCAGAAACAUCUAAGUCUGGUACUGUGAAACUGACAAAACCAGUAGCUCUGUGGACCCAGCAGGAUGUCUGCAAAUGGUUGAAGAAACACUGCCCUAAUCAGUAUCAAAUCUACAGUGAGUCAUUCAAACAGCAUGACAUAACGGGCCGUGCAUUGCUGAGGCUUACUGACAAGAAGCUUGAACGAAUGGGGAUUGCCCAGGAGAGCCUACGACAGCACAUUUUGCAGCAGGUGCUUCAGCUGAAAGUGAGAGAAGAAGUCCGAAAUUUACAAUUACUUACACAAGUGCUCAAAGUUGACUAAGGUGAGAAGAGGAAUCCAUGCUUCCUGACUCUUCCUCCAGGCAAGCAAUUAACAUUUGAAGGAAUAUAGCCAGUGUGAGGCCUUCAUGGAAUUCUUACAGAAAGGGAGAAGUCCAAGAAGACCUACCAGGAUGGCCCCAACAGAGACUUCUCCAUAAACACUACCAGCCUCUAAAGCUUCUGUCCUGCCAGGUGAUAUGAAAGUGAACUUUACUUCAUGAAAAGCAUAACAAAUGGCACUGCCAGAAGGUGACCAAGGAGAAUUGAAAGAUGAACUGAAAUACAACCAUUCAGUCAAGAUGAUACAUUCUGGAAAGUCCUGGUUUGCUGUGGUAUUAAAAUGUGGUGCAUAAAAUACAGUGCUAAUUUGUUCAAAGUGGUCAUUGACAGACCAUUAGCUGGAAAAUUGUUUCCAGUUUUCAUCACUGUGCAUAACUUUGAGUUCCCUUUAGGGGACUAUCUGUGCCCUUCACUAGAAGUCCUGUUUUAGCAUGGCAACUACUGGAUUAUUUUAUUAUGUAUGCAGAUGGCAUGAUGAUGUUUUAGGAAAAACUUACAGCAGUUCUCCAACCUCAGUAAAAAUGUUCACAAUAUUACACCCCCAAUAGGAAUGUAAACGUCUUGUAUGUUA